Molecule: ribosomal RNA, 600 nt
Filed under: Haloarcula quadrata
Lineage: Archaea; Methanobacteriati; Methanobacteriota; Halobacteria; Halobacteriales; Haloarculaceae
Description: bacterial SSU rRNA
Rfam family: Archaeal small subunit ribosomal RNA
Source: RNAcentral
CAAUGCCUAGUUGCACGAGUUUAGACUCGUAGCAUAUAGCUCAGUAACACGUGGCCAAACUACCCUACAGACCGCGAUAACCUCGGGAAACUGAGGCCAAUAGCGGAUAUAACUCUCAUGCUGGAGUGCAGAGAGUUAGAAACGUUCCGGCGCUGUAGGAUGUGGCUGCGGCCGAUUAGGUAGAUGGUGGGGUAACGGCCCACCAUGCCGAUAAUCGGUACAGGUUGUGAGAGCAAGAGCCUGGAGACGGUAUCUGAGACAAGAUACCGGGCCCUACGGGGCGCAGCAGGCGCGAAACCUUUACACUGCACGACAGUGCGAUAGGGGGACUCCGAGUGUGAGGGCAUAUAGCCCUCGCUUUUCUGUACCGUAAGGUGGUACAGGAACAAGGACUGGGCAAGACCGGUGCCAGCCGCCGCGGUAAUACCGGCAGUCCGAGUGAUGGCCGAUAUUAUUGGGCCUAAAGCGUCCGUAGCUUGCUGUGUAAGUCCAUUGGGAAAUCGACCAGCUCAACUGGUCGGCGUCCGGUGGAAACUACACAGCUUGGGGCCGAGAGACUCAACGGGUACGUCCGGGGUAGGAGUGAAAUCCUGUAAUCCU